This 1214-nucleotide long non-coding RNA is filed under the name Gouania willdenowi (blunt-snouted clingfish). RNAcentral's name for it is "lncRNA (ENSGWIG00000021791.1)". The record is from RNAcentral. Lineage: Eukaryota; Metazoa; Chordata; Actinopteri; Blenniiformes; Gobiesocidae.
AUGGGUCAGAAAACAUCUGUGAUUCCAGCAGCCAACUACAGUGUGUUUGCUGAUUCUCUGCUCACCUCAGAGCACUGGAAGGGAAUAGAAGUUGACAGGUCUCUGCAGAUGUUUUCUUUUCUCAACUCCACGGAGGAGCUGAACUGUUUCAGAGACCAGGUUUUGUUUGGGGAAGACUUGAGCAUUGCUGCUAGCUCUUUGCAGAACGUGGGAGGUGCACUGAAAGGGAUCUCUGUUGUGCCUAAUGCUGUUGGACUGGGAGCUCUGGUCAUUGCCAUGAUCCUGGAUGUUUUUGCCAAGUCUCUCAAUAAGCAAACACUAGGAACCGCUGAAAUGUUGGAGAGAGUAUUUGCUCAAGAGAAGGCCAAUGAGGUCAGAGAUCUAAUGGAGGAGUACCUGAAACGUCUGCAGAUCAACUUGGCGCAUCCACAGCUUCAGCUAGCUGAAACCAGGAGGGCAGAGGUGGAGCUGAGUGCUCAGCUCACACGUCUGAAGAAUUCCAUGGUGAAGGAUGGACAUAUGGGGACACGCUUUCUAAAGCAGUGGGUGAACGGAGCUGCUUUCCACACCCAGAUGUUGAUCCAUCAGGCUCGUCUGGAGGGGACGCUGGGAUCCAGAGCCUUGAGAGCAGCAGAAGUCUAUCAUCAACAGCUGAACCUUCUUCUCAAUCAAUACAAGAAAUUCCUGAAAACUGUUGUUUUUGUGGGUCCAGAGGAUAAUACUUGUUUCAGGUACUGUUUGGAUCGAGACAAACAUUUCUGUCAGAUAACCUACAGGGAGUUUUCCAGAUCACGUGUACUUGUGCCACAUCCCGACCCAGACUGCCACCUAACGAGAAAAGCUGAUCAAUUGCUUGACGCAAUGUUUGUUAAACCUCAGUUGACUUCGACUACGACAUAUUUUUUAGAUCUACAAACCAACAUUCCCACUCUUGUGCAACAAAACAGCUCUUUUCAUCUCUAAAUUGAAAUUGAAGAUGCAAGAGUCGCUCAGAAAAGAGUUUCUGGAAAAGUGCCUUUAAAUAUUAAAAUUGUAUUAUUAUUAAAUAUUUAUGGAUUGGUUGGACCUCAGUGUGGACUGAAGGCUACUGACCUUGGGAGUCAUAGUAGAAUAACACAACCGCUGAUGUUGGUAACUUGCAAAUUUGAGCCAGCUGGUGUUUUUAUUAUUUCACUGGAACUACAAAUAAAUUGAAGGGUACCUGUAGUGAAACA